GACGAACGCUGGCGGCGUGCUUAACACAUGCAAGUCGAACGGAAAGGCCCUGCUUUUGUGGGGUGCUCGAGUGGCGAACGGGUGAGUAACACGUGAGUAACCUGCCCUUGACUUUGGGAUAACUUCAGGAAACUGGGGAUAAUACCGGAUAGGAGCUCCUGCUGCAUGGUGGGGGUUGGAAAGUUUCGGCGGUUGGGGAUGGACUCGCGGCUUAUCAGCUUGUUGGUGGGGUAGUGGCUUACCAAGGCUUUGACGGGUAGCCGGCCUGAGAGGGUGACCGGCCACAUUGGGACUGAGGGACGGCCCAGACUCCUACGGGAGGCAGCAGUGGGGAAUAUUGCACAAUGGGCGGAAGCCUGAUGCAGCGACGCCGCGUGCGGGAUGACGGCCUUCGGGUUGUAAACCGCUUUCGCCUGUGACGAAGCGUGAGUGACGGUAAUGGGUAAAGAAGCACCGGCUAACUACGUG
RNAcentral lists this ribosomal RNA (468 nucleotides) under uncultured bacterium. RNAcentral describes it as "partial 16S ribosomal RNA". It matches the Rfam family "Bacterial small subunit ribosomal RNA", at positions 28 to 507 of the family's 1533-position model. The record is from RNAcentral.